RNAcentral lists this ribosomal RNA (773 nucleotides) under uncultured Neocallimastigales. RNAcentral describes it as "partial large subunit ribosomal RNA". It matches the Rfam family "Eukaryotic large subunit ribosomal RNA", at positions 22 to 635 of the family's 3401-position model. The record is from RNAcentral. Lineage: Eukaryota; Fungi; Neocallimastigomycota; Neocallimastigomycetes; Neocallimastigales.
GUACACGCUGUGACUAGCAUAUCAAUAAGCGGAGGAAAAGAAACUAACAAGGAUUCCCCUAGUAACGGCGAGUGAAGCGGGAAGAGCUCAAAUUUGAAAUCUUAAAGGGUUUCCCUUACGAAUUGUAGUUUAAAGAAGUGUUUUCUGUUGAGGUUUUGGUAAAAGUUCUUUGGAAUAGGACAUCAUAGAGGGUGAGAAUCCCGUAUUUGACCUUUACUUUCAACUUUGUGAUACACUUUCAAAGAGUCGGAUUGUUUGGGAAUGCAGUCCAAAAUGGGUGGUAAAUUUCAUCUAAAGCUAAAUAUUGGCGAGAGACCGAUAGCGAACAAGUACCGUGAGGGAAAGAUGAAAAGAACUUUGAAAAGAGAGUUAAACAGUACGUGAAAUUGUCAAAAGGGAAGCGUUUGACACCAGUGUUGUUUUUCUGAAAAUCAAUUAAAGAACUGUUUAUGCUAAGCUGUUUAGACUUUAUCAGCUAUCUGUUUAGUUUUGAGCUUUUCUUUAAUGCACUUUUCAGUUAACAAGUCAACAUCAAUUUCUUUUGCUGUAAAAAAGCUUGAGGAAGGUGGCUUGAGAUUCGUCUUAAGAGUUUAUAGCCUCUUGCCUAUGCAGUCGGAGAGAUUGAGGUCUGCAGCGUAGAUCCUUCGGGGCUAAAUGCAUUUGUGCUAAGUUAUAGCAUUUUAUAGACAACUUGUUGACUAUGAUUUGUCUUGUAGCUUACUCGCUUAUGUUAUUUUACCUACGCUUAGGAUGUUGAAGAUGUAGCACAUCAU